Molecule: ribosomal RNA, 465 nt
Filed under: uncultured bacterium
Lineage: Bacteria
Description: partial 16S ribosomal RNA
Rfam family: Bacterial small subunit ribosomal RNA
Source: RNAcentral
GACGAACGCUGGCGGCGUGCUUAACACAUGCAAGUCGAACGGAAAGGCCCUGCUUGCAGGGUACUCGAGUGGCGAACGGGCGAGUAACACGUGGGUGAUCUGCCCUGCACUUCGGGAUAAGCCUGGGAAACUGGGUCUAAUACCGGAUAGGAGCCAUUUUUAGUGUGAUGGUUGGAAAGUUUUUUCGGUGUAGGAUGAGCUCGCGGCCUAUCAGCUUGUUGGUGGGGUAAUGGCCUACCAAGGCGGCGACGGGUAGCCGGCCUGAGGGGGUGGGCGGCCACAUUGGGACUGAGGUACGGCCCAGACGCCUACGGGAGGCAGAAGUGGGGAAUAUUGCACAAUGGGCGCAAGCCUGAUGCAGCGACGCCGCGUGUGGGAUGACGGCCUUCGGGUGGUAGACUCCUAUCGCUAGGGACGAAGCUUUUUGUGACGGUACCUAGAUAAGAAGCACCGGCUAACUACGUG